RNAcentral lists this ribosomal RNA (253 nucleotides) under uncultured bacterium. RNAcentral's name for it is "partial 16S ribosomal RNA". It matches the Rfam family "Bacterial small subunit ribosomal RNA", at positions 524 to 776 of the family's 1533-position model. The record is from RNAcentral.
UACGGAGGGUGCAAGCGUUAUCCGGAUUCACUGGGUUUAAAGGGUGCGUAGGUGGGAAUGUAAGUCAGUGGUGAAAUCUCUGAGCUUAACUCGGAAACUGCCAUUGAUACUAUAGAUCUUGAAUUUUCUGGAGGUAAGCGGAAUAUGUCAUGUAGCGGUGAAAUGCUUAGAUAUGACAUAGAACACCAAUUGCGAAGGCAGCUUGCUACAGGAAUAUUGACACUGAGGCACGAAAGCGUGGGGAUCAAACAGG